UACGGGGGGGGCAAGCGUUGUUCGGAAUUACUGGGCGUAAAGGGCUCGUAGGCGGCCAACUAAGUCAGACGUGAAAUCCCUCGGCUUAACCGGGGAACUGCGUCUGAUACUGGAUGGCUAGAGGUUGGGAGAGGGAUGCGGAAUUCCAGGUGUAGCGGUGAAAUUCGUAGAUAUUCGGCGGAACACCAGUGGCGAAGGCGACUCACUGGCCCGAUACUGACGCUGAGGCGCGAAAGCGUGGGGAGCAAACAGG
This 253-nucleotide ribosomal RNA is filed under the name uncultured bacterium. Its description in RNAcentral is "partial 16S ribosomal RNA". It matches the Rfam family "Bacterial small subunit ribosomal RNA", at positions 524 to 776 of the family's 1533-position model. The record is from RNAcentral.